RNAcentral lists this ribosomal RNA (509 nucleotides) under uncultured bacterium. Its description in RNAcentral is "bacterial SSU rRNA". It matches the Rfam family "Bacterial small subunit ribosomal RNA", at positions 107 to 607 of the family's 1533-position model. The record is from RNAcentral.
UGAGUAAUGUCUGGGAAACUGCCUGAUGGAGGGGGAUAACUACUGGAAACGGUAGCUAAUACCGCAUAACGUCGCAAGACCAAAGAGGGGGACCUUCGGGCCUCUUGCCAUCAGAUGUGCCCAGAUGGGAUUAACCUAGUAGGUGGGGUAACGGCUCACCUAGGCGACGAUCCCUAGCUGGUCUGAGAGGGAUGACCAGCCACACUGGAACUGAGACACGGUCCAGACUCCUACGGGAGGCAGCAGUGGGGAAUAUUGCACAAUGGGCGCAAGCCUGAUGCAACCAUGCCGCGUGGUGUAAGAAGGGCGUCUUGGUGUUGUAACUUUUCAGGGGGGGGGAGGAGGGAGAGGGUGUUAACAUCCUUGUCGAUUGACGCCCCCCGCAAAAGAAGCACCGGCUAACUCCGUGCCAGCAGCCGCGGUAAUACGGAGGGUGCAAGCGUUAAUCUUAAUUACUGGGCGUAAAGCGCACGCAGGCGGUCUGUCAAGUCGGAUGUGAAAUCCCCGGG